CCUACGGGAGGCAGCAGUGGGGAAUUUUGGACAAUGGGCGCAAGCCUGAUCCAGCAAUGCCGCGUGCAGGAUGAAGGCCUUCGGGUUGUAAACUGCUUUUGUACGGAACGAAACGGUGAGCUCUAAUAAAGUUUGCUAAUGACGGUACCGUAAGAAUAAGCACCGGCUAACUACGUGCCAGCAGCCGCGGUAAUACGUAGGGUGCGAGCGUUAAUCGGAAUUACUGGGCGUAAAGCGUGCGCAGGCGGUUAUAUAAGACAGAUGUGAAAUCCCCGGGCUCAACCUGGGACCUGCAUUUGUGACUGUAUAGCUAGAGUACGGUAGAGGGGGAUGGAAUUCCGCGUGUAGCAGUGAAAUGCGUAGAUAUGCGGAGGAACACCGAUGGCGAAGGCAAUCCCCUGGACCUGUACUGACGCUCAUGCACGAAAGCGUGGGGAGCAAACAGGAUUAGAUACCCUGGUAGUCCACGCCCUAAACGAUGUCAACUGGUUGUUGGGUCUUCACUGACUCAGUAACGAAGCUAACGCGUGAAGUUGACCGCCUGGGGAGUACGGCCGCAAGGUUGAAACUCAAAGGAUUGACGGCGNGAGAGAGCGACGACGACGACGAGGGAGGAGG
Molecule: ribosomal RNA, 618 nt
Filed under: uncultured bacterium
Lineage: Bacteria
Description: bacterial SSU rRNA
Rfam family: Bacterial small subunit ribosomal RNA
Source: RNAcentral